GAAUUAGUAACUUAAUUGGUAAAGGAUUUCCCUGUCACGGAAAUAGAUAAGGGUUCGAGACCCUUCUGAUUCGC
Molecule: transfer RNA, 74 nt
Filed under: Ceratocystis platani
Lineage: Eukaryota; Fungi; Ascomycota; Sordariomycetes; Microascales; Ceratocystidaceae
Description: tRNA-Asp
Rfam family: tRNA
About the family: Transfer RNA (tRNA) molecules are approximately 80 nucleotides in length. Their secondary structure includes four short double-helical elements and three loops (D, anti-codon, and T loops). Further hydrogen bonds mediate the characteristic L-shaped molecular structure. tRNAs have two regions of fundamental functional importance: the anti-codon, which is responsible for specific mRNA codon recognition, and the 3' end, to which the tRNAs corresponding amino acid is attached (by aminoacyl-tRNA synthetases). tRNAs cope with the degeneracy of the genetic code in two manners: having more than one tRNA (with a specific anti-codon) for a particular amino acid; and 'wobble' base-pairing, i.e. permitting non-standard base-pairing at the 3rd anti-codon position.
Source: RNAcentral